AAGAGUCAGCGUCAAAUCCACCACUACCUGAGUCCUGGACUCGAGUGCUACUACACUGGUUACAACACACAUCAGCCAGAGACCCUGCGGCCUGUGACAGGCACAGUCAAGCCUUUAGUUUAGUUUGGCGUCAUGCCAAUUUGAAAGGACUGUUAAUCUCCCCACUCAGCUGGUUCAACCUGCCAUCACACUGACCCAGAACAGGAAUAUAAAUGUCCUUCUACCUCUGUAACCGGUCUUUAUUCCACUAACAAUGUGUCCCGGCUGCUCGCCCCUUUGAAGAAGCACGGGUUUGGCUGGUGGCCGGUCGUUCCACCACAGCUCUGCCCCUUGGUGUCCUGGGGGGCGUGUCGGUGUGCAGUGGAGUGGUGGCAUCAGGGGUGGAGUUGCGCUCCGUGGCGUUGGCUAUCCUCUCCAGGCUGCGGCUGAUGGAGAGCAGGAGGGGGUACGUGCGGCUCUCCAUCCUGCGGAGGCGCGUGUCCAGGCCACGGCGCAGAGCUCCCACCUCCCUCUGCAGCACCUCCAGACCCUCGCGCUGCACCUCCAGCAGCUCCUGCUCCCACCGCCUCCGCGACGGACACGGAGCACCCGUGGUGCUCGAGGCUGCUGGGGGACUGACUGAAACUCCGGCGGUCCCGCUGUUUGCUCCAGCUACAGGACUCUCAGAUGGUGUUGGUGUGCGUGUCGCUGAGGCGUUUGCAGCAGGCGCUGGCAGACUUGGUGGGGCCGCAGCGAGCACGGUUGAUGGCGGCUGCCACCUCUUCCCACGCCUGCCGCCGAUCCGAGAACCGCGGAGGGUGCUGUCUGUCACCGAAAAGCCUGUGGUAGCGGGCCUUGAUCUCGCGCAGGAGGAUGU
Long non-coding RNA from Clupea harengus (Atlantic herring), 856 nucleotides. The record is from Ensembl. Lineage: Eukaryota; Metazoa; Chordata; Actinopteri; Clupeiformes; Clupeidae.